UACAUGGGGUGCAAACGUUGCUCGGAAUUAUUGGGCGUAAAGGGCGCGUAGGCGGACAGUUUAGUCAGAGGUGAAAGCCCAGGGCUCAACCUUGGAAUUGCCUUUGAUACUGGCUGUCUUGAGUUCGGGAGAGGUGAGUGGAAUGCCGAGUGUAGAGGUGAAAUUCGUAGAUAUUCGGCGGAACACCAGUGGCGAAGGCGACUCACUGGCCCGAUACUGACGCUGAGGCGCGAAAGCGUGGGGAGCAAACAGG
RNAcentral lists this ribosomal RNA (253 nucleotides) under uncultured bacterium. RNAcentral's name for it is "partial 16S ribosomal RNA". It matches the Rfam family "Bacterial small subunit ribosomal RNA", at positions 524 to 776 of the family's 1533-position model. The record is from RNAcentral.